This 58-nucleotide ribosomal RNA is filed under the name Sanghuangporus baumii. RNAcentral describes it as "partial large subunit ribosomal RNA". The record is from RNAcentral. Lineage: Eukaryota; Fungi; Basidiomycota; Agaricomycetes; Hymenochaetales; Hymenochaetaceae.
UUGACACCUUUGACCUCAAAUCAGGUAGGAUUACCCGCUGAACUUAAGCAUAUCAAGA